RNAcentral lists this long non-coding RNA (618 nucleotides) under Zostera marina. RNAcentral's name for it is "long non-coding RNA (ZMAR_LNC004821)". The record is from RNAcentral. Lineage: Eukaryota; Viridiplantae; Streptophyta; Magnoliopsida; Alismatales; Zosteraceae.
GUCACGAUCUGACGCGCAAUCUGUGUCGGUGCCUCACCCUCCCAAACGAACCUGUCCUGGUGCUCCUCCAGGACAGUCACAAGAUUAGCUUUUAGGGCAGGGGGUAACCCCUUCUCUAGUGCCACAUGUCCCCCCUCCAGCUGGUAUACCUCGGUCUCGUCCACAGGUUGUAAUUUUUCCCUCUCCUCAGUGUUAGGCGGGGUGUGGACGAGCAUGUUGUCGAGUUUUGUCAGCUGGGUUGCCUUCUUAUACCCUUGUCUAGAAUCUUUUUGUGAUCCUUUGACAGUCGCAACGAACCCGUUUACUGGAUAUCGAAUGCAUUAGUGAUAAGAAGACGGGACUGCUUGGAUUCCAUGGAUGAAGGGGCGUCCGAAAAUGCCAUGGAAAGUAGAUUCUACCUCCACUACUAUGAAGCGGCAUGUUCGGCUAACCCUUCCUCGCUUGGAACCGAUGGAUACCUUUAGGUCAAUAACACCGGCCACUGGGGCGGCGAUGUUAGUGAAAUCGUAGAUGGCUUCCUUACAGGGAGAUAGUUCCUCCCUUUUAUAGCCCAUCUUGGUAAAAGUAUCCAUGUAGAGGAUAUCCGCAGGGCUGCCGCUGUCGACAAUCAUCCUCUCG